This 27-nucleotide small RNA is filed under the name Bombyx mori (domestic silkworm). RNAcentral's name for it is "ovarian small RNA-29845". Lineage: Eukaryota; Metazoa; Arthropoda; Insecta; Lepidoptera; Bombycidae. The record is from RNAcentral.
UCUCUGCGACUUUCAUCGUGGCUUCCA